This 1359-nucleotide long non-coding RNA is filed under the name Triticum aestivum (bread wheat). Its description in RNAcentral is "long non-coding RNA (TAES_LNC020837)". Lineage: Eukaryota; Viridiplantae; Streptophyta; Magnoliopsida; Poales; Poaceae. The record is from RNAcentral.
UGCUGGUUGCCUGCGUGCACGGCCUGUGUGCACGGCGCCGCCGCGGUCUCCUGUUACGAGUCUCUCUCGUUGGGAGCUGCAGAGUCCGUUCCCAUCUCCCCUGUGACAAGGUACAAUUUUAUGCUAUGUUCUUAAACCAUUCUUCUUUUCAUGUACUAAUGUAUGUCCUGCUAGGAGUAGUAGUACCAACCGUAGUCUUCUUUGUCUGUACUCCAAAAUCUGAAAUAGGAUGGAGAGCAACAAUGAUACAGACGAGAGAGACUUGCUCACGGUAUGUGGACGAAUGGGACAGCAACGCGUCGCAACAUGUAUUAAAUGUACAGAUGGUCUGACAAUAUUAUACCUUGACGGCGUAGUGCAAUAUGACGACGCGGUCACGCCUACUGACGGUGCGGUCGGCCACGUGAACGGCGUGUGCGGUCGGAUGCAUGAUACACUUCUUAUUGAUACACUGGAGGCCUCGGGAUGAGGUAGCCGACAAGCCUUUGUGCGGGUCGGGGGAAGCAUGAUCUUAGCAUUCACGCUUGACUGCGGGCAAUGGUGGAUUCAGCAACGGGAGUGCCGCGACCUCGUUGGAUCUGGCCUCUAGCGCUUGGAUCUGCACUCGUGGCGGUGGCGCUGCGCUGUGGCGGCCCGGAUAGCUUUCCGGUGGCUGAGGCUGGUGGUUGGUCUGUGCGGUGGCGUACAUCGGAGUUGGUGCUGGGCGUGCACAUGAUGAGAGGAUUUACUAGAGUUAGAUUCAGCAUACCGGCCUACUAGAUUUAGCUGAAUCAUUCUAUCAACAUGUACACUAAUAAGGUAUGUGCUACGGGUUGUACUCUCGUUACAUUGCUUUAUCUUACUUUAAUUGUUGACUUCAUCUCAUGUUUGCCCGUUCCAUAGGAUUGUCAUGAAUCUGUUUUCCUUCAGUUUACAGGAGGGUGAUGUUAACGAUUUCAAGAACUUGAUAGCAGGGUAAGGGUAUAGCUAUUGGCCAUGCAGUAGCGCGAGGCUUGACAAACAUACUUGUUCUCUUGAUUGAACAUGACCAGGACCUAAAAUGAUUUUGAUUUGUGCUCUUGUAGGUUAAAUCAAUCUCUGUCAAUACGAAAUUGUCAUAGCUGAACAUGAUCAGGACCUCAAGAGGACAGGGUUAUUUAGAGUUUCAGAACUUGUACUUGGUAAAAGAAUCGAUAUGGUUGACUAGAGGGGGGGUGAAUAGGCAACUAACAAUUUUUAGCUUUUCUUUAACAAUUUAAACUUUGCAUCAAAGUAGGUUGUCUAGAUAUGCAACUAGGUGAGCAACCUAUAUGAUGCAACGAGUAUAGGAACACAAGCAAGCAAGUGAUAUGAUACAAAUAAGCUUGCACAAAUAAAGGC